Pseudomyrmex gracilis is the source of this 1212-nucleotide long non-coding RNA. RefSeq lists it as uncharacterized. The transcript has 5 exons. NCBI's taxonomy places the organism in Eukaryota, Metazoa, Arthropoda, Insecta, Hymenoptera, Formicidae. The record is from RefSeq and is a predicted model, not a curated record.
CCGUGGGUGACUCCUGGCGACUCUCGCGAUGCCAGUAACAGUCUGUUUGUCUGGCCCAUGCCAGUCGUCGUCCCGAGUCGUCUCGCUACGCCAGUUCGUUGCGCAAAUUGAAGUUGAUUGAAAUGAAUGAAUGAAGUUAUUACACAUAACACGGAGACCCGAAGAGAAGUGUUACAUCUUGUAGUAAUAAGAAACGUGAAAAAAUAUUUUACAUCCAGUUGCGUGUGAUGUUUGAGAUAUAAUGAAUUAAAUAAGAAAAAUCAACCCCCCGAUCGAUCAACGUUUCUAAAGUGCGCAAUAUUAAAAUCACGUGCAAAUUGAAGAGUUACGUCGCUUUUGAAGAAAAAAAAAGAGAGAAGUAAGAAUGACUCGUUAGUUGUACGUUCCUGGAUCAUAGAGGUAGGACCGCCUCUGACGAACGAAUAGGCGCGGUUAAGAUUGGCAACCAAGACUGGUCGCCGAUAACUCGACUCUCUAACGAGGUGGUAUCGUGGACCAGGUCUAGAGGACGCGAUGGCGGCCUGUACAAGAGAGGCCUUGUAAAAAGCGCAGCUGAUUAGCGGCCGAUGGUGAAAGUGAAUUGAAUCUGCAAAUAUCAGAUGAAGGCGAUGAGCGGCGCGAAGAAAGAUAAACAUCAAUUUACGUUCAAAGAAUAUCAAGAUUCCGUCAUCUCUUCGUGGGACGACUGGGUGCGGUUAAGUUGUUGGCCACGUCGGUGUCAGGUCGGUGCCGAGAAGUCUACCGGAGAUAACCAGCUGCAUCGGUAGACUGCCUGCUGCCUGCGCGGGCCCCGUAGGGCCCCUCCGGGACCGGUUAUACUUGACCCAGCGCGAUUCGUUGCACGCUGUCCGAGACCGGAUCGCGGCGUCCGCUACCGAACACAUAGGUAUAACGUACAGCUCGAAGGCGUACGUAUGGAUCGCAGAUACGGAUCAGGAACGGAGUGUCGGAAUAAGCGCGGAGAAAGGAGGGAGUAGAUUGGCAGGAAUUCCAGCCGGGGAUAUAAAACUUCACGGGACGCGAGAGAUGGCAUUUAUGUAGAUGAGUUCCACCAAGGAUACUGUUUAUAUUACUCAACCACAUAUGUGCUGCGUGAGUUCGAAACAGUUACGGAAUCAGAGAUCCACGGAAGCGAAAGUUCUAGUUUUCUUCCGAGGUCCUCCUCUCUUUCAGGUGUUUAUAUAUACGUACACACAUACAUACAAUUUAUAC